GACGAACGCUGGCGGCGUGCUUAAGACAUGCAAGCCGUACGAGAAAGUCUCUUCGGGGAUGAGUAAAGUGGCGCACGGGUGAGUAACGCGUGGGUAAUCUGCCCUUAGGUUUGGGAUAACCCCGGGAAACCGGAGCUAAUACCGAAUGAGACCACGAUGACUUCGGUCGAUGUGGGAAAAGGUGGCCUCUUCUUGAAAGCUAUCGCCAAAGGAUGAGCCCGCGUUUGAUUAGCUAGUUGGUGAGGUAAUGGCUCACCAAGGCGACGAUCAAUAGCUGGUCUGAGAGGAUGAUCAGCCACACUGGAACUGAGAUACGGUCCAGACUCCUACGGGAGGCAGCAGUCAGGAAUAUUGGGCAAUGGGCGAAAGCCUGACCCAGCAACGCCGCGUGAAGGAUGAAGGCCUUCGGGUCGUAAACUUCUGUCGAGAGGGAAGAAUGUGUACGGGUAAACAAUCCGUGCAUUUGACGGUACCUCCAAAGGAAGCACCGGCUAACUCCGUGCCAGCAGCCGCCGUAAUAC
This 521-nucleotide ribosomal RNA is filed under the name uncultured bacterium. RNAcentral describes it as "bacterial SSU rRNA". It matches the Rfam family "Bacterial small subunit ribosomal RNA", at positions 28 to 526 of the family's 1533-position model. The record is from RNAcentral.